UAGGGAAUCUUCCACAAUGGGCGCAAGCCUGAUGGAGCAACACCGCGUGAGUGAAGAAGGGUUUCGGCUCGUAAAGCUCUGUUGUUAAAGAAGAACACGUAUGAGAGUAACUGUUCAUACGUUGACGGUAUUUAACCAGAAAGUCACGGCUAACUACGUGCCAGCAGCCGCGGUAAUACGUAGGUGGCAAGCGUUAUCCGGAUUUAUUGGGCGUAAAGAGAGUGCAGGCGGUUUUCUAAGUCUGAUGUGAAAGCCUUCGGCUUAACCGGAGAAGUGCAUCGGAAACUGGAUAACUUGAGUGCAGAAGAGGGUAGUGGAACUCCAUGUGUAGCGGUGGAAUGCGUAGAUAUAUGGAAGAACACCAGUGGCGAAGGCGGCUACCUGGUCUGCAACUGACGCUGAGACUCGAAAGCAUGGGUAGCGAACAGGAUUAGAUACCCUGGUAGUCCAUGCCGUAAACGAUGAGUGCUAGGUGUUGGAGGGUUUCCGCCCUUCAGUGCCGGAGCUAACGCAUUAAGCACUCCGCCUGGGGAGCACGACCGCAAGGUUG
Molecule: ribosomal RNA, 550 nt
Filed under: uncultured bacterium
Lineage: Bacteria
Description: bacterial SSU rRNA
Rfam family: Bacterial small subunit ribosomal RNA
Source: RNAcentral